UAGCUAUUCCAGUUGACGCCAUUUUGAUCUUAAAAUAGUAACAACCGGAAGCACUGGGUAGCCAUUACUGCAUGCGAUUUUCGGAAGGAUAUUGGAUCCUAUAGUUAAAUCGUGAAGUUUACAAAUUACAGUGACACAGUGAGAAAUUACAGAGUGACAAAGUGACUGAAAUUUCCAUAGAAGGUUGUUUACUGGGAUGAUAUAGAUUGGAAGAAUGACAGUGAGUUUCAGUUAACAGAGAGAGAUCAGAGAUGAAGAUUAUUUUCUAUUUGAAAAAAAAACUAUAGAAGGU
Long non-coding RNA from Saccostrea cuccullata (small rock oyster), 292 nucleotides. RefSeq lists it as uncharacterized. The record is from RefSeq and is a predicted model, not a curated record. NCBI's taxonomy places the organism in Eukaryota, Metazoa, Mollusca, Bivalvia, Ostreida, Ostreidae. The transcript has 3 exons.